AGUGAUGAUGCUCCUUGUUUGUUGUGUGGGUGUCUAUUUUUGUCAAAAUUAGGUUGACGGUUGGACAAGAUGAUCUUUAAGGUCCCUUCCAACCUAGAAGAUUCUGUGAUUCUGUGAAAAGGCACAGGCAACAGCCCUGUUACAGCACAUCUGGUAAGGAAUAUCCCACACCUCUCCAUGCUGAAGACAGAAGCACAGUCAGUGGACUUCUGCCAGGAGGUAAAACCAGUGCCUUCAUCCUUCUCCACGCUCCGCUUGCCUGAGACACUGCCCGGGGGGAGACAAGCAGCCCACUGCAGAUGCUGAAAGGUAAAAGCCACACUCCUGCAAUGUCAUAAGUGCCAUUCGGAUGUCUUGACAGAAAUGAAAGAGUACUUCAGGGCAGAAGCAACAGCUCUACAGGUUCUGGAAGAGCAGCCCUAUCAGUUACACAUCAGAUGUGUGCAGUCCUGUGUCCUUUUUCAGAUACGUCUGAAACCAGGAGCCUAGACAACUUGAAAAAACAGCCUACAAUCUCAUUCUGAAUGUUUAGGUACAAGAGCAAUAUUUCCCAGCUCCCAGGUAAGACUGUGCUCAUCUCAACAUUGUCUCCCCUUCCCCUGGAGUCUAGAUCCUGUCCACCCUGGUAGCCCAGCACCAGUGCUGCUCUGGCAGUCAGAGCUUGCCAUCGGUGUCAAACAGCCCUUUCACUCAUGAAAAAUCUACUCUUCAGGCUAGGUUUGCUCACCUACUAACUUGGUUAAUCCCCACCCCUGCUUAGAGGAGUUGCCUUCACAGUACAUCAGUGGAAGGCGUUUUGCUAACGAGCAAGACACCUUUUCCAGAUUAAGCAAAAAUUUCUCCCCACAGCUUUCCUUUCCCAGCUGCAGACACCCAGGCAGAAGAGGCAGCUGCUUAAUCAGCCCAAGGUCUCCUCCAUGGAGUAAUCUACACAGGAAUCUCUGGCCAUUUAUCUGUAAUUCUUUUUGUCCUUUUCUGGUUCCUCCUUCCCCUUAUUUUUCCCAGGUCCAAAUGUUUCUCACAUAGCAGGGUUCUUCCUGCUUUUCCUCUUAACCUGUUGUAACCAUUAAUAGGGCAGUGAACCGCACAGUGGUCUCAAGGGGAAUAUUCAGUUCACACAGAUUGAUGAUGCUUUGCCAAAAGGUAUGAGCAGGCAGUUGCUGAGGUUAUUAUGAUAGCCACAUUCACAUGUGCUGUGGCACUGUAAAGACCCCACUUGGGACUUCUCCUGGGGCUUAGGAAAAGAAAAAAACCCAACACCUCAAUCAUUAAAACCAAAAGGUCUGAGUAAGAGCAGAAUUGUUCACAAGGAACAGCAGUUGAGAGUGCUGCAUUCAGGCACUGCCAUCACCAACAAAAGACAGCAGCAAGGCUUUGAAUGCACAGAUGUGUAGCUUGGAGCAUCAGUGCUAAAGCAGGAAAAUAAAGGGGAGCAGAGGGACCUCAGGGAGGAGGCCCAUGGAGGGGUGGGACAGAGGGUACUAGGCAGCCAGAGCAGGUCAAAACCCUGUCCCAGAGGCUGAUGGUGGCCUCCUAGUAAACAAGCUGUGUGUUAUCACUUUGCUGAGUGACACGUCACUUAACAUUUUUGCUUGUAACUUAGUUCCAAUACUUGAAGUCUUGGAGAAGUACUUUAAGAUCGUUUUUGUUUUGAAGGUGAGAGUUAUGAGAAGCACUUGAUUCUGAAUAUCCAUGUCUCUCCUCUCAACCAAGACAUCGUAGCAUAUUGAAAUUCCUAACUGACUUUUUCUUGUACAUUUCACUUCAGGCAUUAUGUUCUCUCGAUGAGUAAUAGUGAAAAAUGACCCCUGACUCAGAAAUCAUUCUGGUAACUCUGAUAACAGUGAAACAACAAAUUUCAAGGAUCAUCGGCCUCUCCAAACGUUCAUUUUGCUAACAGACAGAACAGCAAAGUAAUCAUCAUUAGAACAGUAAUUUUGUUUCAGCAACCCUUAAACUCCUGCUGUGCCACUGUAUUGCCAGUCUCUGUUCUGAGUUGAUGGAAGGAGACGGUGAUUCUAUUAACUAAAUUUCAGAAUAAUUGAAGAAGGUCUUUUAAGAUACAAACUUUGCUUUGAUACAGGAAUUUCAAAGGUGAAUGGAAGCUUCAAAGGAGGCACUGGGAAUGCAAGGAUAGCAGGAAUGUGUUCGUACUGCUCACCAAGCCUUCCAGGACGCUCUCUACAAGUGAUUCAUCCACUGAUCACAGAACUGCAGAGUGACAUGGGGUUGGAAGGGACCCUUGGAGAUCAUCUAGUCCAACCCCCUGCUAGUUUAUGAGAACUGUUUACAGGAUUUGCUCCCAUUUCCUGAGAGGUUGUUCUGUAUUAGAAUGAUAAUGAAUGAUACUCUAGAUCAGUGACAUAGAGGGAAGCUUUCUUACUGCUGAAGCCAAGGGAAGUUGUUCCAUUGACCUUUCAGUGCCAGGAUUUCACUCUAAGAAUUAAAUUGAAACUGAAUAUGGAUGUAGAGGCUUGGGGGAUGGCUUUUAGGAUUAUUUCUUACAAAAUCCUAUGUGCCUAGAAUCUCCUCUCCAUGCGAAUAGCUGGGUAAACAGUGUGCUUUGUGCCAGCAAGUAUUUUUCAGUGCAUUGUCUCUAGUUUUCAGUGCUUUGUGCUCUAGGAUGUGUGGUGUUAUGUAUCCUACCAUUGAUUAAAAAAACUAUAUACCAUAGAAGUGUUCUUCAUGUGUGUCCACAUCCACUUUAGGAAACGCUUAGGUUUUUCAGCUCUCAGUAUGGCACCAAAGAUAUUUGUCUUAUGAGUUGAGAUGUUGGCAGUAGGAGUUGUGGAUGUGCUACUUAAAAUAUUUUUAAACUUUUACAAAGAAGAUUACAUAAAAGAUACUGCAGGAGAUUAGAAGAACUUUUUUCUGAAAUAGUUUUGAGCCAGUAAUUGAUGGGGAGUUUGCUUCCAUAGCUCUCUUUUUGUGUUUUAGAGUUCAAAAGGAUAUUGUGUCAUUUCUUCAGCAGCUGUUGCAAGCAACUAAAUAGUUUGUUUAAAUAUUUUGUGUAGUUAAGCAAAUAAAUUUUGAACAGAUAGUUUCCAUUAGCAAACUGAUUAGAAUAUCAAACAUGCAUCCUAUUUCCAGGAGUUCCAACUGUUAAAAAUAUGCUUAAACUUUCAAAAUACUGGUUUUAUUUUAUUAUAGAUGAGGUUUCUUUAAAUAAAUACAGUAAGCCUGAAGAUUUGGUGCUGAGGUGCGAAUCUGUCCUUGAGAAAGGAGUCAUUUCUUUGUGCUAAUGCUGAAAGGAAAAUGAGAAGGUUCCCUUCUCUUUUUCCCUUGUUUCAUUGGAUAAUUUCUGUUUCAUUGCAGCUGUGCACGUCGCAGCUGUGGUAUUCCAGCACAUCCCAACUCACAGUUUAGUCUGCAAAGAUGAAAAUGAAGCCUUGGCUGUGAGUGGCAUCCUGUUGUGGCCCUGCUGGCAGAGCGAGCCCAGAGUGGGGUGACCAGAAACCACAACAUACAGGAGGACAUCGCGCACAACCAGCUGAUGAACCAACUGGAACAAGAAGUCACAUUACAGUUACUUUCCUGUGUCCCCCCUUGCUUUUUGUGGUUACCUUAAAUGGCAAAAUGACUUUCUGGCAUUUAGUGGGUUAUUGCAAAUUUAAUUGAGGAUGGUUUAGCGUGUUGAAAAAUUAAUGCCUUCAUGUUUGAAAUCUAGGCACUGGAUUUUUUUCAUAAAAUUAAAACAUCAAGAAGAGUGUUCACUUAAUGCAUUAUAGAGCAAUGUCUAGACUAGUCUAAAAAGUGAAAAAGAACCCUAUGCAACCCCCUGAAAAACUUGGAUUCUCUUCCAAGUUUAAUAUGGACACUCUGCAAAGCUGUUUUACUGAAGUAUAUUCUGCUUAUCUUGAGAUACACAAUAACAUCAUGUCUUAGCACAAGGGAGGGAAAGGAGAGGAGACAUUUAUUUUCUUGACCAUCGCCUGAGAUUUUAGAGAUGAGGUGUCUUAGCAUUGGACAGUUGAUGAAAUUUGGAAAGAGAAAAGAGUGAGGGAGGAUGCUCAGUGCAUUAAUAUAAAGUAUAAGGAGAACAUACUGACAACAUUAGCAAAUAAAUCACACACAGAUGUAGAAUUCAAGUUUCUGAAUCUGCUCAUUAAAUAUUUACAAUUCACACUCUCAAAAUUGGAAAAUAUGUUGACAUCUCAAUUUAUCUUUUUCAACAAACUGUCAUACCUGGCACGGUAUGAAAUUGGUAACAAAGAAUAAACUGGUCUGAAAAGUCAA
Molecule: long non-coding RNA, 4236 nt
Organism: Calidris pugnax (ruff)
Lineage: Eukaryota; Metazoa; Chordata; Aves; Charadriiformes; Scolopacidae
Exons: 2
Source: RefSeq, a predicted model, not a curated record